AAAAAAUCAGAGGUCUGUACUUUUCUCCUCUGUUCUGGCCUCUAGUAAACUUCAGGAAAAUUAUUUUCACCAUUAUUGGGUGAACCUUUUUAAACUAUACUUGUGAAUAAAGGUUCAAUACAUGUUGCGACAUUA
This 135-nucleotide small nucleolar RNA is filed under the name Amborella trichopoda. RNAcentral's name for it is "Small nucleolar RNA snoR74". It matches the Rfam family "Small nucleolar RNA snoR74". Lineage: Eukaryota; Viridiplantae; Streptophyta; Magnoliopsida; Amborellales; Amborellaceae. The record is from Rfam by way of RNAcentral.